RNAcentral lists this ribosomal RNA (505 nucleotides) under uncultured bacterium. RNAcentral describes it as "bacterial SSU rRNA". It matches the Rfam family "Bacterial small subunit ribosomal RNA", at positions 791 to 1304 of the family's 1533-position model. The record is from RNAcentral.
UAGUCCACGCCGUAAACGAUGGACACUAGUUGUUGGGCAUAAGUUCAGUGACUAAGCGAAAGUGAUAAGUGUCCCACCUGGGGAGUACGGUCGCAAGAUUGAAACUCAAAGGAAUUGACGGGGGCCCGCACAAGCGGUGGAGCAUGUGGUUUAAUUCGAUGAUACGCGAGGAACCUUACCAGGGCUUAAAUGUAGAUUGACAGGACUAGAGAUAGUUUUUUCUUCGGACAAUUUACAAGGUGCUGCAUGGUUGUCGUCAGCUCGUGCCGUGAGGUGUCAGGUUAAGUCCUAUAACGAGCGCAACCCCUAUUUUUAGUUGCUAACAGGUUAAGCUGAGGACUCUAGAGAGACUGCCGGUGCAAACCGCGAGGAAGGUGGGGAUGACGUCAAAUCAUCACGGCCCUUACGUCCUGGGCUACACACGUGCUACAAUGGCAAUGACAGAGGGCAGCUACCUGGCGACAGGAUGCGAAUCUUUAAACAUUGUCACAGUUCGGAUUGGAGU